GAUGAACGCUGGCGGCGUGCCUAAUACAUGCAAGUCGAGCGAACAGACGAGGAGCUUGCUCCUCUGACGUUAGCGGCGGACGGGUGAGUAACACGUGGAUAACCUACCUAUAAGACUGGGAUAACUUCGGGAAACCAGAGCUAAUACCGGAUAAUAUAUUGAACCGCAUGGUUCAAUAGUGAAAGACGGUUUUGCUGUCACUUAUAGAUGGAUCCGCGCCGCAUUAGCUAGUUGGUAAGGUAACGGCUUACCAAGGCGACGAUGCGUAGCCGACCUGAGAGGGUCAUCGGCCACACUGGAACUGAGACACGGUCCAGACUCCUACGGGAGGCAGCAGUAGGGAAUCUUCCGCAAUGGGCGAAAGCCUGACGGAGCAACGCCGCGUGAGUGAUGAAGGUCUUCGGAUCGUAAAACUCUGUUAUUAGGGAAGAACAAAUGUGUAAGUAACUAUGCACGUCUUGACGGUACCUAAUCAGAAAGCCACGGCUAACUACGUG
This 497-nucleotide ribosomal RNA is filed under the name uncultured bacterium. Its description in RNAcentral is "partial 16S ribosomal RNA". It matches the Rfam family "Bacterial small subunit ribosomal RNA", at positions 28 to 507 of the family's 1533-position model. The record is from RNAcentral.